AUCAUCUAAGAUAAACAAAAGAUGAUUUCAAAGGCAAUUUUCGUAUGCAUAUUCGUGUUCUCCUUCUUUGCUCUACAUCAAUGCAACCAAAUGGAAGUUGGAGAAAUAGAGAGCAAACUCGUUAUUCCAAAAUGUAUCCAUAGAAGAUGUUCAGAUCAAGGCUUUUUCCAAAGAGAUUGUUGGUGCUGUAUGAAAGAUCGAACGCUCCCUUGUUUCAAAGAACAAAGCGAUUGCGAUUCAGAUAGGCAUUGUCCUCCUAUACAAUUAAGACUUUAGAAAAUCAAUGUAAUAUUAUUAUGUUUCCAAAUCUAUAUAAAUGCCAUUGUCCAAACAA
This is a long non-coding RNA of Brassica oleracea var. oleracea, 334 nucleotides long. RefSeq lists it as uncharacterized. The record is from RefSeq and is a predicted model, not a curated record. The transcript has 2 exons. NCBI's taxonomy places the organism in Eukaryota, Viridiplantae, Streptophyta, Magnoliopsida, Brassicales, Brassicaceae.